GACGAACGCUGGCGGCGUGCUUAACACAUGCAAGUCGAACGGAAAGGCCCUGCUUGCAGGGUACUCGAGUGGCGAACGGGUGAGUAACACGUGGGUGAUCUGCCCUGCACUUCGGGAUAAGCCUGGGAAACUGGGUCUAAUACCGGAUAGGAGCCAUUUUUAGUGUGAUGGUUGGAAAGUUUUUUCGGUGUAGGAUGAGCCCGCGGCCUAUCAGCUUGUUGGUGGGGUAAUGGCCUACCAAGGCGGCGACGGGUAGCCGGCCUGGGAGGGUGGACGGCCACAUUGGGACUGAGAUACGGCCCAGACUCCUACGGGAGGCAGCAGUGGGGAAUAUUGCACAAUGGGCGCAAGCCUGAUGCAGCGACGCCGCGUGGGGGAUGACGGCCUUCGGGUUGUAAACUCCUUUCGCUAGGGACGAAGCUUUUUGUGACGGUACCUAGAUAAGAAGCACCGGCUAACUACGU
RNAcentral lists this ribosomal RNA (464 nucleotides) under uncultured bacterium. RNAcentral describes it as "partial 16S ribosomal RNA". It matches the Rfam family "Bacterial small subunit ribosomal RNA", at positions 28 to 506 of the family's 1533-position model. The record is from RNAcentral.